UCAUUUAAACCAAAUCUAGCUUUUGCUGGGUCUUGGGCUUUCGCCUCUGGGCGGGCCUCAAAAUUAGUGGCGGUGCCACCCGGCUCUAAGCGUAGUAAUUAUAUCCUCGCUACAGAGUCCUCCGGGUGAAUACUAGCCAACAACCCCUAAAUUUUUUAAAGGUUGACCUCGGAUCAGGUAGGGAUACCCGCUGAACUUAA
Molecule: unclassified non-coding RNA, 200 nt
Filed under: soil metagenome
Description: partial contains internal transcribed spacer 2 and large subunit ribosomal RNA
Source: RNAcentral